CGAUUACUCCUGAAAUCUGCCUAUACCAAUUUGAAAGUAGAUUUUAUGGAAUCUACAAUCAUGCACGUUGAUCAGUUUGGUAUCUACUUUUGUUCCAAGAAGUUGAAAUAGAGAGACUUUUUAUUUGUUUGAACUUAAUACAACACUUUAUCAAUUAUCGAUCAGGAAUAACAUGCAAGAAAUGAAACAAGAAAUAAAAAUAAAGCAAAACAAAACAAUUACUCAGGUCAGAACUAGCAAUAAAUUAGUUAAGCUUAAGCAGCCGCUUUGGCAGUGAACUCCUUCUCCACAGCCUUCAUCAGAAAGCUAUCUUCUUCCAGGACCAUUUGUACAGGCAAGAAACCGAGACCAUUGGCCAUGGCAAGCAUCAUUUGCUUGGUCUCUGCCUUGAACUCCUCCAAAUCCACCGUGCCAUUUGAGUCAUGAUCGAAUUGGACAAACAGAGAGUUGUAAACACUAGCAAGCUCUUCUGGGUCUGGUUUCUCGUCGAUGCCAAAAUGGGUCUCAAAGACCCUCAGACUCUUGAGCUCCUGCAUCAUUUCUGCAUAAGAAAGGAGACCAUCAUGAUCUGUAUCAAGAUGGGCAAAACGGUUUCGUAUCGAGUUGUUGAAUGCUUCUUCAUCUUCCACAAAGCUGACAAUUGUUGCACCAUCUAACACUUCCACACUCAUUCUGCUCUUAUAUAUGCUGCCUUCUUUUGCUUUAUAGUAAUAUGUAAAGUCAGAGGAUCGGAAGUUUUCGAUCUUGUUGAAACAUAAUUUGGGUGUUGUUUGUAUUUAUAGGCGCACGCUUGAAAGGCAGUUUCAAAAUUUUGCCAUAGCUUUUUGAAUCGAUCGCCUGAGAAGUAGUAGGUUUGCAGAAAAAUUCGAGUCAGUGGGCGUGCAUGCAUUUUUGUGUAAUUUGCUAGUGUGGCCAUUCAAUUACUUUUGAGAAUCUGUGGGCUCACCGUGUUCUCUAGAGAGUCAAACAUAUCAACAGAAAUUGACCAAUAAAGUCAAAGGUGGAAUUUAAAAAUACAGCUUCAAACUUCAAUUCAAUUCUACGUAUCUUUGAAGAACAGUGUAGGUAUGACUUAUGAGAUCCAUAGCUGCAGCUAUAUUAAUAUAUGAAAUUCGAUUAAGUUUGUUAAGCGUUAUACAUAUAUAUAUGAACCUUCGCAUGAAUGUACGCAUAAUAAUAAAUUGUGGAAUCUGUGUGAAUAUGAAAACGACUGCGUUUUGUGCGUAACUAACUAUAAUGGGCCACGCGCUUGACCUAGAUAAGUCAAACGCCAAUCAAAUGAGCGUUAACUGCUGUUAGUUUUGGCGCUAAAGCGCUGGGUAGGUUGCAUUUACAAAGCUGUUACAACAGCCACAUAGCGGCGGAAAUUGCGGUCUUUUUGCAAAUGCUUAGCAGAAAUAGAGUAGCUGAGAGCCUGAGACCGUAUUCAGGGGCUCCUGAUGUAUUCCUACGUUGAAUUUUACUUAAUAGGAUUUUGGGUCAAGCGGAAGGGGUAACUAAGCAAUAACGAAUCUAUUUAUCUACAUAUGUUUAUUUCUAAUUUAUUUUAUGAGCAAAGUUGAAAAUGAAUUUUGGGAUGGAAAUUAUUAAUUUUUAGCGAUCUAGUCAUAAAAAAAUAACGAUAAUUACUAAUUUUUUCUUUGAAAAAAUGUCUGUUUUAAGAAAUUGAUUACAAUCUAUUGUCUACGAAUGCUAUGAUUUAAAAUUUCUUGAAAAUUUAAACACAUAUAAUAGUAGUCUAAUUUAAACGUCUUCUAACACUAAUCAAAAUUAUACUCCUACUAAUAUACAGGGAGAAAUCUGCACAAAUCUACCACUAGGCCAAAGCCUUAGUGGCAAUUACUACAGAAAUCUGCCUAUACCAAAUUGAAAGUAAAUUUUAUGGAAUCUACAAUCAUGCCUGUUGAUCAAUUUUGGUAUCUAUUCUUGUACCAAGAAGUUGAAAUAGAGUGACUUUUUAUUCAUUUAAAUUAAUACAACAUUAUCAAUUAUUGUUCGGGAAUAACAUGCAAGAAAUGAAACAAGAAAUAAAAAUAAAGCAAAACAAAACAAUUACUCAGGUCAGAACUAGCAAUAAAUUAGUUAAGCUUAAGCAGCCGCUUUGGCAGUGGACUCCUUCUCCACAGCCUUCAUCAGAAAGCUAUCUUCUUCAAGGACCAU
This 2160-nucleotide long non-coding RNA is filed under the name Citrus maxima (pomelo). RNAcentral describes it as "long non-coding RNA (CMAX_LNC000775)". The record is from RNAcentral. Lineage: Eukaryota; Viridiplantae; Streptophyta; Magnoliopsida; Sapindales; Rutaceae.